This 253-nucleotide ribosomal RNA is filed under the name uncultured bacterium. Its description in RNAcentral is "partial 16S ribosomal RNA". It matches the Rfam family "Bacterial small subunit ribosomal RNA", at positions 524 to 776 of the family's 1533-position model. The record is from RNAcentral.
UACGUAGGGGGCGAGCGUUAUCCGGAAUUAUUGGGCGUAAAGCGCACGCAGGCGGUCCGCCAAGUUUGGAGUGACAGUUGAUGGCUCAACCAUCAAAGUACUUCAAAAACUGGCAGACUUGAGAGCGAGAGAGGAACAUGGAACUCCAGGUGGAGUAGUGAAAUGCGUAGAUAUCAGGAGGAACACCGGUGGCGAAGGCGGGUCUCUGGGCCGAUAUUGACGCUGAGGAGCGAAAGCGUGGGGAGCAAACAGG